AUGACUGUUGAAUUUAUUGCUACUGAAAUGCUAGUCAGCUGUGUGGGAAGGACACAGGGAGUCAUCUCAGACUUGAUCUCCAUAUAUUACCCCAAAAUGGAAGUGCAGGGACUACUUCUGAACCAAUCCCAUUAUUUAUGGGCCCAGGAGCUUUGACCUGUUAACACUCCCAAAACUGGCUGGAUCAUCACAUCUGAGAAAACCUAGUAGCCCUCCCACCUGGGGAGGGGGAGAAUGUGGGAGAAGGGACCACCAUAUUAAUUAAUGGUGAAUUUUGUCUGCAUAUCAAUGCUCAGAAUUCCUGCACUCAAGAGAUCCUUCAGGUUCUGCCUCCCCAGGACUGCGAAUAAUAAUCAUCUUCCAUUGUUUCUGGCUCUAAUGUCCUUUCAAGUUUUACAUCCUAUAUACUCCUGAAAGAUUAAAGAUGGAGAGCUGAAAAGGAAAGAAGAGGUCAUCCAGUCCAACUCUGCAUUUUACAGAAAAAGAAACUAAAGCAAGGAAAAUUUAACAGAUUGCCCAAGUCAAAGGAAGAAAAUAAAUGGCAGAGCUGUGGUUCA
Molecule: long non-coding RNA, 557 nt
Filed under: Monodelphis domestica (gray short-tailed opossum)
Lineage: Eukaryota; Metazoa; Chordata; Mammalia; Didelphimorphia; Didelphidae
Description: lncRNA (ENSMODG00000031095.2)
Source: RNAcentral